This 29-nucleotide non-coding RNA is filed under the name Homo sapiens (human). The record is from RNAcentral. Lineage: Eukaryota; Metazoa; Chordata; Mammalia; Primates; Hominidae.
UGGGAAUGGAUGAGGUGCUACACAAAUGA